RNAcentral lists this small RNA (548 nucleotides) under Pan troglodytes (chimpanzee). RNAcentral's name for it is "retained intron". Lineage: Eukaryota; Metazoa; Chordata; Mammalia; Primates; Hominidae. The record is from RNAcentral.
GGCCGCCCAUGAAAGCGCACCCAUGGCGGCAUCUGCAAACAUAGAGAAUUCUGGGCUUCCACACAACUCCAGUGCUAACUCAACAGAGACUCUCCAACAUGUGCCUUCUGACCAUACAAAUGAAACUUCCAACAGUACUGUGAAACCACCAACUUCAAUUGCCUCAGACUCCAGCAAUACAACGGUCACCACCAUGAAACCUACAGCAGCAUCUAAUACAACAACACCAGGGAUGGUCUCAACAAAUAUGACUUCUACCACCUUAAAGUCUACACCCAAAACAACAAGUGUUUCACAGAACACAUCUCAGAUAUCAACAUCCACGAUGACAGUAACCCACAAUAGUUCAGUGACAUCUGCUUCUUCAUCAGUAACAAGUAUGUAUUAAAGCUGACCUUUUUUUCCUAUGCUGCAAGGAGUUAAAUGCCACAUUUAAGUCAUUAUUCUGUCUGGCAAAAAUAAUAUAGAAACUUUAUAUGCCUAGAUUUCCCUUAAUUCCUAAUUAAAUGUUCUUAACACAGAAAAUCAGAGAGCUUUAAUUACAAUGU